This 429-nucleotide ribosomal RNA is filed under the name Chloroflexota bacterium. Its description in RNAcentral is "Chloroflexi bacterium partial 16S ribosomal RNA". It matches the Rfam family "Bacterial small subunit ribosomal RNA", at positions 355 to 776 of the family's 1533-position model. The record is from RNAcentral. Lineage: Bacteria; Bacillati; Chloroflexota.
UGGGGAAUAUUGCACAAUGGGCGCAAGCCUGAUGCAGCCAUGCCGCGUGUGUGAAGAAGGCCUUCGGGUUGUAAAGUACUUUCAGUCGGGAGGAAGGUGUCAAGGUUAAUAACCUUGGCAAUUGACGUUACCGACAGAAGAAGCACCGGCUAACUCCGUGCCAGCAGCCGCGGUAAUACGGAGGGUGCAAGCGUUAAUCGGAAUUACUGGGCGUAAAGCGCACGCAGGCGGUUGAUUGAGUCAGAUGUGAAAUCCCCGGGCUUAACCCGGGAAUUGCAUCUGAUACUGGUCAGCUAGAGUCUUGUAGAGGGGGGUAGAAUUCCAUGUGUGGCGGUGAAAUGCGUAGAGAUGUGGAGGAAUACCGGUGGCGAAGGCGGCCCCCUGGGCAAAGACUGACGCUCAGGUGCGAAAGCGUGGGGAGCAAACAGG